UACGAAGGGGGCUAGCGUUGCUCGGAAUCACUGGGCGUAAAGGGCGCGUAGGCGGCCGAUCAAGUCAGGGGUGAAAGCCUGUGGCUCAACCACAGAAUUGCCUUUGAUACUGUUCGGCUCGAGACCGGAAGAGGUAAGUGGAACUGCGAGUGUAGAGGUGAAAUUCGUAGAUAUUCGCAAGAACACCAGUGGCGAAGGCGGCUCACUGGCCCGGUACUGACGCUGAGGUGCGAAAGCGUGGGGAGCAAACAGGG
RNAcentral lists this ribosomal RNA (254 nucleotides) under uncultured bacterium. RNAcentral's name for it is "partial 16S ribosomal RNA". It matches the Rfam family "Bacterial small subunit ribosomal RNA", at positions 524 to 777 of the family's 1533-position model. The record is from RNAcentral.